GCAUGAGAAGUAUGAGCAGACUGCGAGGCUGUAAGAAACUCAGUUGUCCCGGGAUGCUCCAACUCUGAGGCUGAUCCGGGACAAUGGACUGAAUGCCAUCAUGAGCCUCAAUGGACUUACCUGUAAGAAGGGUCACGUGAGAUUCCAACGCUAAUGAGCGUGAAAGGUUUUUGCAAACAGGAACUGCAGCACAAAGGAGAGGCAUGAAUCCUUGAGCGAUUAAGACAGUGGGAGUGACGGGGCAGAGUCACCACGGAGAUGCUACUGGAGUGAACACAAGCAGAUGAAAACAGGGCUGUCUAAAUGACACGCAGCCACCAGUGACUGCCCGGGCUCCCGAGAAAUCCAGAUUCAUCAGGACCCACUGAUUUGGGCAUCUGAUGAUGGCAUGUGAGGAGGAAUUUUCCAAAGUUUCUGGGAGAGUACAAGGCAAGUCACCACCCGCUCCCAGCUGUGUGCCUUUCCUGGGGCCAGACCCUGCAGCAGCUCCCACCUUGUCCCACGCUGGAUGGCAGCCUGCUUGUAGGGGGGGCCUGCAGACACCUUCUCACCCCACCCAGGACUUGAAGGCAAGGGUGGAAUUUUUGGUGGAUGCGAUGAUCUGUCUUCUCGUGGUAAGGAGGUGAUUCCCUGAACAGCUGGGACAACACCAUCACCUCGUCUUCCUUUCUCCUCUCUUACUUCCUGCUCCUGAUCCUAGAGGAGCCACAGAGCUCGGCCCUUCCCCACCCCCGCCUUGAUGUGGCUUGGGCAAGCUAAGGGCAGGUGGCUCUGUGUGUCAUGAAGUCCUGUAGGGCCUGCUCCUGAGACUUUCCUGCCCACUGAGUGGGAUUACUGAGUGACAGCUGGCCCUCUCAGUGACUGUGUGCCUCACCCUGUGCUUCUGGUAUCUGGACAAUGCCCUUCCCAAACAGGAAGUGUUUGAGCCAUGUGUUCUAGAUACAUGGCUGUUUUUCUCUUGUUUAAAAACCUUUGUGUGUGAUGUUCCCCACCCUGUGUGCAAGUGUUCUCAUUGUUCAAUUCCCACCUAUGAGUGAGAACAUGCUGUGUUUGGUUUUCUGUCCUUGCGAUAGUUUGCUCAGAAUGUGGGGGGAGGGGGAAGGGAUAGCAUUAGGAGAUAAACCUAAUGUAAAUGACAAGUUAAUGGGUGCAGCACACCAACAUGGAACAUGUAUGUUCAUAUGUAACAAACCUGCAUGUUGUGCACAUGUACCCUAGAACUUAAAGUAUAAUAAAAUAAAACAAAAACCUUUGUUUU
Molecule: long non-coding RNA, 1258 nt
Organism: Homo sapiens (human)
Lineage: Eukaryota; Metazoa; Chordata; Mammalia; Primates; Hominidae
Source: Ensembl